UAGGGAAUCUUCGGCAAUGGACGAAAGUCUGACCGAGCAACGCCGCGGGAGUGAAGAAGGUUGUCGGAUCGUAAAACUCUGUUGUUAGAGAAGAACAAGGACGUUAGUAACUGAACGUCCCCUGACGGUAUCUAACCAGAAAGCCACGGCUAACUACGUGCCAGCAGCCGCGGGAAUACGUAGGUGGCAAGCGUUGUCCGGAUGUAUUGGGCGUAAAGCGAGCGCAGGCGGUUUCUUAAGUCUGAUGUGAAAGCCCCCGGCUCAACCGGGGAGGGUCAUUGGCAACUGGGCGACUUGAGUGCCGAAGAGGAGAGUGGAAUUCCAUGUGUAGCGGUGAAAUGCGUAGAUAUAUGGAGGAACACCAGUGGCGAAGGCGGCUCUCUGGUCUGUAACUGACGCUGAGGCUCGAAAGCGUGGGGAGCCAACAGG
RNAcentral lists this ribosomal RNA (429 nucleotides) under Gemmatimonadota bacterium. Its description in RNAcentral is "Gemmatimonadetes bacterium partial 16S ribosomal RNA". It matches the Rfam family "Bacterial small subunit ribosomal RNA", at positions 355 to 776 of the family's 1533-position model. Lineage: Bacteria; Pseudomonadati; Gemmatimonadota. The record is from RNAcentral.